CCCUUAGAUGUCCGGGGCCGCACGCGCGCUACACUGAAGGAAUCAGCGUGGCUUUCUCCCUGACCCGAAAGGGUUGGGAAACCCGUUGAAUCUCCUUCGUGAUAGGGAUUGGGGCUUGAAAUUGUUCCCCAUGAACGAGGAAUUCCCAGUAAGCGCGAGUCAUAAGCUCGCGUUGAUUACGUCCCUGCCCUUUGUACACACCGCCCGUCGCUACUACCGAUUGAACGGUUUAGUGAGGGCCUCGGAUUGGUCUCGGCCCGCUCUUUACCGGGCGGCGCCGUUGGUCGAGUAGACGCUCGAACUUGAUCGUUUAGAGGAAGUAAAAGUCGUAACA
This 334-nucleotide ribosomal RNA is filed under the name uncultured eukaryote. RNAcentral describes it as "partial 18S ribosomal RNA". It matches the Rfam family "Eukaryotic small subunit ribosomal RNA", at positions 1470 to 1796 of the family's 1831-position model. The record is from RNAcentral.